UUGCUUCCAUUUUUUGAGUGUCAAGAGGUCAUCCUGUCAUUCGGCAGAAUAUGGAGACUUCAUCUAAAAUUGAAAAAUGAAAAUGAACUUUGAGGAAACUUUUGUUUUGCUAAUAAAUCACUAUUUCUUAGGCAGAAUGUCAGCCCCUUUGAUUCACACACCACCUUCAAGGUCAUUAGAAAUGUCCUUGACCAGCAAUGGAGAAGAAAGAGAAGGUACCGCAGUUUCGAUGGUCGUGGGACUCAGGUUUUCUCUCAGCACUGCGUAUACGCUUGGAGACAUGGGAAGAAGGUCUGAUGGAGACUGUGGCUCAGUGGAAUCGCUUCGGCUUAAAGAGAGAACAAGUUAUAGAAGUGAAGUCAGAACCAUGCCCAUUUUAGGAAAGAGAAAACCAAAACUCUACAAGUGACUGUGAGAGGCCC
Molecule: long non-coding RNA, 422 nt
Organism: Equus quagga
Lineage: Eukaryota; Metazoa; Chordata; Mammalia; Perissodactyla; Equidae
Exons: 3
Source: RefSeq, a predicted model, not a curated record